AUACUUACCUGGCAGGGGAGACACCAUGAUCAGGCAGGUGAUUCUCCCAGGGCGAGGCUCUCCCAUUGCACUGCGGCUGCACUGACCCCUGCGAUUUCCCCAAAUGUGGGAAACUCGACUGCAGAGUUUGUGGUAGUGGGGACUGCGUUCAUGCUCUCCCCUA
This is a small nuclear RNA of Oryctolagus cuniculus (rabbit), 163 nucleotides long. It matches the Rfam family "U1 spliceosomal RNA". Rfam says of the family: U1 is a small nuclear RNA (snRNA) component of the spliceosome (involved in pre-mRNA splicing). Its 5' end forms complementary base pairs with the 5' splice junction, thus defining the 5' donor site of an intron. The record is from Rfam. NCBI's taxonomy places the organism in Eukaryota, Metazoa, Chordata, Mammalia, Lagomorpha, Leporidae.